GACGAACGCUGGCGGCGUGCUUAACACAUGCAAGUCGAACGGAGCGAAUGAAAGCUUGCUUUUAUGAGCUUAGUGGCAAACGGGUGAGUAACACGUAGACAACCUGCCGACAGGAUGGGGACAACAUUCCGAAAGGAAUGCUAAUACCGAAUGAAGCGGAGGAGAGGCAUCUCUCCUCCGUGAAAGAUGGCCUCUGAACAUGCUAUCACCUGUCGAUGGGUCUGCGUCUGAUUAGCUGGUUGGUGAGGUAACGGCUCACCAAGGCGACGAUCAGUAGCCGGUCUGAGAGGAUGAACGGCCACAUUGGGAUGAGACACGGCCCAGACUCCUACGGGAGGCAGCAGUGGGGAAUCUUCCGCAAUGGGCGCAAGCCUGACGGAGCAACGCCGCGUGAGUGAAGAAGGUCUUCGGAUCGUAAAGCUCUGUUGACGGGGACGAACGUGCGAAGGGUGAAUAAUCCUUUGCAAAGACGGACCCGUCGAAGAGCC
RNAcentral lists this ribosomal RNA (488 nucleotides) under Centipeda infelix. RNAcentral describes it as "bacterial SSU rRNA". It matches the Rfam family "Bacterial small subunit ribosomal RNA", at positions 28 to 492 of the family's 1533-position model. Lineage: Bacteria; Bacillati; Bacillota; Negativicutes; Selenomonadales; Selenomonadaceae. The record is from RNAcentral.